This 460-nucleotide ribosomal RNA is filed under the name uncultured bacterium. Its description in RNAcentral is "partial 16S ribosomal RNA". It matches the Rfam family "Bacterial small subunit ribosomal RNA", at positions 338 to 795 of the family's 1533-position model. The record is from RNAcentral.
CCUACGGGAGGCAGCAGUGAGGAAUAUUGGUCAAUGGACGAGAGUCUGAACCAGCCAAGUAGCGUGAAGGAUGACUGCCCUAUGGGUUGUAAACUUCUUUUAUAAAGGAAUAAAACGAGGCACGUGUGCCUUUUUGCAUGUACUUUAUGAAUAAGGAUCGGCUAACUCCGUGCCAGCAGCCGCGGUAAUACGGAGGAUCCGAGCGUUAUCCGGAUUGAUUGGGUUUAAAGGGAGCGUAGAUGGGUUUUUAAGUCAGUUGUGAAAGUUUGCGGCUCAACCGUAAAAUUGCAAUUGAUACUGGCAGUCUUGAGUACAGUUGAGGUAGGCGGAAUUCGUGGUGUAGCGGUGAAAUGCUUAGAUAUCACGAAGAACCCCGAUUGCGAAGGCAGCUUACUAAACUGUGACUGACAUUGAUGCUCGAAAGUGUGGGUAUCAAACAGGAUUAGAUACCCUUGUAGUC